AUACGGAGGAUCCGAGCGUUAUCCGGAUUUAUUGGGUUUAAAGGGUGCGCAGGCGGCCAUUUAAGUCAGCGGUUAAAUCGUGGGGCUCAACCCCAUUCUGCCGUUGAUACUGGGUGGCUUGAUUGCGGUCGAGGUUGGCGGAAUUCGUUGUGUAGCGGUGAAAUGCAUAGAUAUGACGAAGAACACCGAUUGCGUAGGCAGCUGACCAGACCGCAAAUGACGCUCAUGCACGAAAGUGCGGGGAUCGAACAGGAUUAGAUGCCCUGAUAGUCCGCACAGGAAACGAUGAAUACUUGUUUUCGGCGAUAUAAUGUCGGAGGCAAAGCGAAAGCGAUAAGUAUUCCACCUGGGGAGUACGCCGGCACCGGUGAAACUCAAAGGAAUUGACGGGG
This 392-nucleotide ribosomal RNA is filed under the name uncultured bacterium. Its description in RNAcentral is "partial 16S ribosomal RNA". It matches the Rfam family "Bacterial small subunit ribosomal RNA", at positions 523 to 918 of the family's 1533-position model. The record is from RNAcentral.